GCAAUCCGUUUCGAUACUGACUGU
This 24-nucleotide microRNA is filed under the name Ananas comosus (pineapple). RNAcentral describes it as "microRNA s0081_c037". Lineage: Eukaryota; Viridiplantae; Streptophyta; Magnoliopsida; Poales; Bromeliaceae. The record is from RNAcentral.